RNAcentral lists this ribosomal RNA (372 nucleotides) under Triticum aestivum (bread wheat). RNAcentral describes it as "partial small subunit ribosomal RNA". The record is from RNAcentral. Lineage: Eukaryota; Viridiplantae; Streptophyta; Magnoliopsida; Poales; Poaceae.
AUGCCAACGGUACCUGCUUCCCCUACGACGUGCUCGUCGACAUCCGCCGCCGACGCGUCUGCCCCGCAAGUGGCCGAAAGCAGAGAGGAGCUAAUUAGUUUGUUGGAACAUAGCAACGGUGAGGAAAGUGAUAUUGUAGAUGAGCAAGAUGACAUUGAACAAGACCAUAAGGAUGAUGAGUUAGAGGAACUUGGGAGCAUAUAUGGUUAUGAAAAUUUGCCCAGAUUCACCAAUGUUGAUGGAAGUGCUGCCACCAACCUAGUUGUUGAAGAACAAGAGGAGGAUGAGGAUCAUGAUGAUGAUACGGAGGAACUAGGGAGCAAGGAGGAUUCUGAGUAUUCGUGGAACUCGGAUGAUCACAAAUUCCAUUGA